GUUAAUAUCCAGUCUGAUGUUUUAUGAACAUUUGAUAAUAAAUGAUUGACAAGAUAAAAUUAUAAUCUGCAAAAUGGUACUCCAUACAAACAAAAUUGAUUAUAAUUUGUAUUGGUAAUACAAUUAAAGUGUUAUAAUAACCCUGCUCCAAAUGAGUGGGGGUAUUAUGUCAGUCCUACCUUAGAUCUGACAGUCUAAUCAACUGCAAAUAAGAUCUUCUUGAUAUUUCUAAGAC
Molecule: long non-coding RNA, 235 nt
Filed under: Mytilus galloprovincialis (Mediterranean mussel)
Lineage: Eukaryota; Metazoa; Mollusca; Bivalvia; Mytilida; Mytilidae
Source: RNAcentral